GUGUAGCUCAGUGGUAGAGGACUUGCCUAGCAUGUAUGAAGUCCUGGGUUCCACCCACAGCCAGACA
RNAcentral lists this transfer RNA (67 nucleotides) under Marmota monax (woodchuck). RNAcentral describes it as "tRNA.Ala". Lineage: Eukaryota; Metazoa; Chordata; Mammalia; Rodentia; Sciuridae. The record is from RNAcentral.